RNAcentral lists this ribosomal RNA (674 nucleotides) under Aliirhizobium zeae. RNAcentral describes it as "Rhizobium zeae partial 16S rRNA". Lineage: Bacteria; Pseudomonadati; Pseudomonadota; Alphaproteobacteria; Hyphomicrobiales; Rhizobiaceae. The record is from RNAcentral.
CUCAGCGUCAGUUAUGGACCAGUUAGCCGCCUUCGCCACUGGUGUUCCUGCGAAUAUCUACGAAUUUCACCUCUACACUCGCAAUUCCACUAACCUCUUCCAUACUCAAGAUACCCAGUAUCAAAGGCAGUUCCGCAGUUGAGCUGCGGGAUUUCACCCCUGACUUAAAUAUCCGCCUACGUGCGCUUUACGCCCAGUAAUUCCGAACAACGCUAGCCCCCUUCGUAUUACCGCGGCUGCUGGCACGAAGUUAGCCGGGGCUUCUUCUCCGACUACCGUCAUUAUCUUCAUCGGUGAAAGAGCUUUACAACCCUAAGGCCUUCAUCACUCACGCGGCAUGGCUGGAUCAGGCUUGCGCCCAUUGUCCAAUAUUCCCCACUGCUGCCUCCCGUAGGAGUUUGGGCCGUGUCUCAGUCCCAAUGUGGCUGAUCAUCCUCUCAGACCAGCUAUGGAUCGUCGCCUUGGUAGGCCUUUACCCCACCAACUAGCUAAUCCAACGCGGGCUCAUCCAUCCCCGAUAAAUCUUUCCCCCGUAGGGCGUAUGCGGUAUUAGCUCCAGUUUCCCGGAGUUGUUCCGCAGGGAUGGGUAGAUUCCCACGUGUUACUCACCCGUCUGCCGCUCCCCUUGCGGGGCGCUCGACUUGCAUGUGUUAAGCCUGCCGCCAGCGUUCGUU